GUGCUUUCGGAGCUGCUGCCUUGCAACGCUUGGGCAACGCAUUUGCAGGCUGGCCCGCGCGACGCAGAGCGGCGUCUCUCUCUCUCUCUCUUUCGGCUUCUGCCCUGCCCACGUUGAAGAAGGAAACAUGGGCUGGGCUGGGGCGGUGGAAAAGGGAAGGUAGGAGGCAGUCCGGCUCCAGGUUUGUUGGUUUGUUAUUCAGAACCCGCCUUUCAUUUCAGCGGAUCCCAAAAAUACAGAUGCUAUAACUCCCCGUUUCAAAAGUCAUGCAUCGUUCCAAAAGAAAACACUUAGCAAUAAGACCUGGGAAAACCGAAGAGCAGGUUGCUUGGUUAAUUACUGCACCGGAAUUUCGAAAAUGCCCCAGAUUUAGACAAGACACUCUUCACGGCCCCACAGUGGUGCGGUCAGGUAUUCUUAGACUGGAGGCAAUGGCUUUUCAGUCACUCCAACCCUUUUGAUGGUGAUGCAUAUUAUUUUGCUUCAAAAUCAAGGCCGGAUUAAGACAUUUAGAACCCCUAGGCGCUUAAAAGAUUUGGGUGUAGCCCAUGUAUAUCUAGUUCAAAAUAUAAACAAGAAUAAAUGGCAAAAUAAAAUUUCAUUUUUUGAUGUGAAACCUACAAUUGGAUGGAAAAUAAUGUUUAUUUUUGUAUAUUUGUAACAAUAAUUUUAUUUUUGUUGAGCUGCACCAUAUGGCCCAUGGUAAAUCUGACAAAGAAUUUAUGUGGUGCUCCCCUUUCCCUUGAUGUCCUAAGCACAUGCUCAUUUUGCUUAAUGGUUAAUCCAGCCCUGUUCAAAAUGUAAUAAGCCAACUCCGGAGUUUGGGGGCUGCGCUUCUUCACUUAAUGCCCAAAGUCCUGCCCUGAGGGCACCGCAGUCUCUUCACUGCUGUUAUCACCAGUCACUGCAGCUCUGCAUCAUCAACACUGCUAGCACCUGUCAUGUAUGACUUAGCUGAGAUUCCUGCCUCACAGGGGGUUGGACUAGAUGACCCUCAGGGUCCCUUCCAACACUUUGAUUUUGAGAUUUCCUGGCAGAGAGUAUUAAGCCCAUAAGAAAAGUUCUGUGGAUCCCAUCAAAGGAUGCCUCUGAGAAGCCCACAGGCAGGGUCUGAGCUCAACAGCACUUUUCUCAUUUGUGCUCCCCUGUGUACUAACUCUGAUAUUGGAGAUAGUACACAGACAUCAUGGCUAAUAGUGAUUGAGAGCCUUAUUGUCCAUGAAUUUGUCAAAUCCUCAUUUGUAGCCAUGCAGGUUACAUCACUACCUCUUGUGAGAGUGAAUUCCAUAGUUUAAAAAAUGUGCUCUAAAUCUUCCCAAAUCUUCCAGCAUUCCGUUUCAUUGGAUGACCCUGGGUUCCAGUAUGAAAAUGAGAGGAACAUGUAUUUCUGUUCACUUUCUCUCUAGACCAUGAAUGUUUUCUUCACCUUUUUCCAUGUUCCCCUUCACUUGCCUUUUUUCUAAACUCAAAAACUCAAAAUGUUUCAACCUUUCCUCAUAGGGAUGUUAUUCUAGACCCAUGAUUGUUUUGGUUGGCCUUUUUCUGAAUCUUUUCCAGCUCUACAAUGUUCUUUCUGAGGUGCAGCAAACAGAAUUGUACACAGUAUUCCUAGCCUGGCCAAACUAUGGAUUUGUACAGUGGCAUGAUAUUUGCAGUUUUAUUUUCAGUCACUCUCCUAAUUAUCCCCAACAUGGAAUCUUCCUUUUUCACAGCCGCUGCAUACUGAGUUGACAUUUACCUUCAUCCCGAUCGGACAAAUGAAGCCUGGUCACAAACUCAAAUCCCUUUUCUGAUCAAUCGCCAGUGAAUAUCAUUUGUUACUUGAAUUCCCAUAAUGCAGAAGUCCUUUGGGAGCUCCACCCAAUUUUUUUUUUCUUUCCACCCUGAACAGCUUGACCACUUCACUGCUCACUCCUACUCUAGGUUAUUUAUGAACAACUUUAAAAGUACCAAGGCCAAUACCCCACUUGUCGCAUCCAUCCAUUGGGAGAACUAUAUUUAGUUCUACUCUCAGUUUCCUUUAGUUAAUAGUUACUGACCUGUCCUCUUAUCCCAUGACUGCUAAGCUUACUCAGGAGUCUUUUAUGAGAGACUAUUGACAACUUCUUGAAAGUCACAAUGUCUACUGGAUCUCAUUCUUACUGACACUGUCAAAUAAUGCUAAACAGUUAAGUAGACAGCGCUUAUCCCUGCAGAAGCCAUGCUGAUUAUUCUUCAGCAAUAAUUGUUCAUCUAUAUGCUUGGUAAUUCAGUUUUUAAUUGUGUGUUCCACCAGUUUUCUCAGAACCAAUUAUAAGCUAUCAGCUCUAUCAUUUCCUAGAACCUCCACAUCCUUUUUAAAAAAUAAAUAAUUGGUGUUACUUUGGCUAUUUCUUCUUUUGCAUUGGAUUGAACUAAUUUGUUCUAGCCCAGCAAAAUCUCUUGACUGGAGCUCUUACACACAGGAAUCAUUAAAGCAGGAGUCGCCAACAUGCUGCAAUCAAAAUAUCAUGGACUACUUCUCCCAUCAGCUCCAGCUAGCAUUGCUAGUAGUCAGGGAUGAUGGGAGUUUGAGUCUAACAAUUUCAGAAAGCACCACAUUGACCACCUUUACAUUACAGGCUUUGCCAUCUCCCUAGGUUUGACUGGGCCAGUCCCUGCUGGUUGCUGCACCAGACCAUUAUUCCUAUGUAUUUUGUAUUUUUAAAUAGUAAAGCAAAGCAAAAAAAAGCACAGUAGGUGCAAGCAUUGCCCUGGUUUUGACAGGUUUCCUAGUUUUGCAAUUGUAUUUGAACACCAUAGUGCAGAACUAUAUCUGGAUACAGUUGUAACUUCGUUCUCGAACGCCUUGAUACUUGUACGUUUUGGCUCCCGAACACCGAAAACCCCGAAGUGUUCCAGGUUCUGAACGUCUGACGCAGCUUCCACGGCUUCUGCUUUGAGUGCAGGAAGCUCCUGCAGCCAAUCGGAAGCUGUGCCUUGGUUUUUGAACAUUUUUGGAAGUCGAACGGACUUCCAGAAUGGAUUACGUUUGAGAACCAAGGUACCACUGUAUUUCCUACCUAAUUCCUAGUUUUUUACACUAUUACACAGGUUAAAGGGACGUUUGCAACUUCCAGGAAAUGUAGUUUGAUAUUUAGGCAGCAAUCCUAUAACUACCGUAUUUUUCACCCUAUAGGACGCACCGUCCCAGAAGGCGCACCUAGUUUUUUUGGGGGGGAAAUAAAGGAAAAAAAAUAUUUCCCCCCCAGGCACAGGGCUGGGGCGGGGGAAGCCCGAGCUUCCCCCGACCCCAGCCCCCAAACAGGCAGCUCUCUGCAAGCCGUGGGAGCCCAGCGCUGGCUCCCGCUGCUUGCGGAGAGGUCCGCGAAGCCUGGACGCGCUGAGCUCAGCGCGCGCAGGCUUCAGCAUGCAGGCAACUCUCCGCAAGCAGCGGGAGCCCAGCGCUGGGCUCCCGCUGCUUGCGGAGAGGUGCGCGAAGCCUGCAUUCGCCCCAUAGGACACACACACAUUUCCCCUUCAUUUUUGGAGGGGGAAAAGUGCGUCCUAUAGGGCGAAAAAUACGGUACUUACCUAGGAGUAAGCCCCAUUGAACUCAGUGGUACUUACAUGCAUAGGAUCGUACUGCAUGUCUCCCAGUACAUAAAACAGGUUCAUAGCCUUCCACCCUAUCCAGGACUCGUUCAUCAUCUUGGUGCAAUUUAUCUUGGUUUGGUGGCUGCAGAGUCUCUACAGAUAAACACAACAGAGGAAAAACAGAUGAAUCAGAUCUUUGACAGCCAUAAUGGGUUCAAGGUAGCAUUAUGUAAACAUUAUUAAGUGCAAUAAACACAUGUCAGCAUUAGACACUCUUGUGUGGAUGAGCCAGUAAGAGUUACCGUGAACUUCUUAGUCAUAAUGUCUUUCUAACUUUAUGUAGAUAGUAUAAUAGCAGUUCAAGCAGUGCUGCAGCCUUGACGGGAAAUCUUUACCCUGUAAUAGAUAGGCCAGGUCUGAAAGAGUGCCACUGGAAGACUGUACGCUUUCAUUCAUAUAGAUGCUGCGCAUUUGUCGGACUGACAGGGAGGCCGGCCACCAGCUUUUUGCAGUGUAAUUACUAGUAGAGCAGUGUUUUAGAGGCCCUGAUUGCUUCCGCCCAUCCGGAAAACAGGUGAGGUGUGAGAGUUUUAACGUGAAAUGUAGAACUGUUUCCUGAAUGGUGAUUUUUAACUCUGCUGAAAUAGGUAUUUUUGCAUUCUUACACAAGUAAGAAGAGGGAGGAUAAAUGUCAAGGUUCAGGGAAUCCGAUCUUUCCCAUGCUGGACAAUCAAGAAUUGGAAUCAGGAGUCAGCAAAUUUUUUCAGCAGGAGGCCGGUCCACAGUCCCUCAGACCCCGUGGGGGGCCGGACUAUAUUUUGAAGAAAAUAUAUUUUAUUUAAAUUUUGUAAAUUUUAUUAAAUGAUUUUGUUUAAAAUGCAUCUGUGGGUUAUUUGUGGGGCAUAGAAAUUUGUUCAUUUUUUUCUCUCCAAAAUAUAGUCCAGCCCCCCACAAUGUCUGAGGGACAGUGGACCGGCCCCCUGCUGAAAAAGUUUGCUCUAUAUGUUGUUGUACACCAGCUCCCAUCAUCUCUGGCCACUGACCAGGCUAUCUGAGGCUGAUGUAAGUUGGGAGUCCAACAAUUUCUGGAGUGCCACACAGGUUCCCCACACCUGCCCUAGGCACCCUAAGAAAGUUUACAGCCUUCUACUUGAGGCGCUUCACUUUCCCCUCUUGCACUAGCCAUUUUCCGCUACUCCAACAGCAGGAAGUUCCACAAAUUAACACUUAGUCCUCCAGACGAAGCUAGGGACUGGUCUACUAUUGUGCUACAUCUUGCAAAUUUCAAUCCUUCCACGCCAAAUGCUCCAAAAGGAAAAUGUAAGUAGACAGCAUUUUAUUAUGUUGUCUGUCAGUUUGCUUUUUAUUAUGUUUAUAACAUUGAUGUACUGUAAUGUGUUUUUAAUGUUGUACAACACCCUGGGAUCUUUGGAUAAAGAGUGGUAUAUAAAUAGAAUAUUUAUAAUAAAUUGGAUAUUUAUAAAAAUUAAUAAUAAAUUGAAUAUUUAUUAUUAUUAUUAGUAGUAGUGGUGGUAGUAUUACUCCUGUUCCUUUUUCUAUUUCUUCCUCACCUCCAUCACAAACACAGGUUGGGGGUGUUUUAAAUGCCCCCUUCUCAAGAUUAAGUGUUUUAGUGACAAGGCCAGAUUUGAAUCAGCAGUCUGGCCCCACCCCUUGAUAAUGAUUGACAGGAGGGGGUGGAGACAGAGUGGAGAAAUUAGGGCAGUGCAGCUGGUAGGUGAGUGGGCUUUGGGAUCAACAUUCAACCCCCAUAGUGGGGAAUCUCAAGCCCAAAGACCAAUAGCGGCCCUCUAAACCUCUCCACCUGGCCCUUGGAUCUCUCUCUCCAGGUCAUACCUCUCCCCGGCUCUGCUCUGCACCCUCCCUGAGUGUUUUUGCCCAGAUAGACUGUGUACCUAAGUACUGACAAUGCCUACUACUUGUCUGGAUGGUGGACACAGAGGAAUGGGUGGAGCUAAAAUACUGUGCAAAGGUUCCAUUUUCAUUUGUUGCUCCACCCACUUUGCCUCUGGCUUCACCCUUCAUUGAUAUAUGGCCCUCAGAAGGUUCUGCAGAAAGGAAUGUGGCCCCUGGUCUAAGAAAGGGCCCCCACUCCAGCUCAAACCCUUUCUACACACACACAUAAAUAAAAUCGGGACAGAACUAAAUUCUCUAUGUUCUCUCUCCCCCUGACACAUGUGCACAGUGCCAAAUUUGAUGACCCCUUUGCUAGCUGAGACUAAUGGCCAAUAUUUAAUAUGAUGUAACAUGUUUUCUUCUUUCUUCGUUUUCCAUCACACUUCCAGUCAUGCCAAACCAGAUUUCCUAACCCUGGUCUCUCUUCCAGCUGCUGAUCUAGUAUGGGGAAGAUUCCUAUCUCGCUUCUUUCCCAUUCUGGGUUCUGUGAUUAUUUAAAAACUGUAAUUGCAUUAGAGAUGUAGAAAACAUAGCACGGAAAACCUGGCUCUGGUACCAGUGAAAAUGGAUACUUGGUUAAAUGCAGGCUAGCUGUUCUCUCAGUUCAAAUCCCUUUAAGGCAUGGCAGCUCUCAUCAAACACAAACAUUUUCAUUUUAAUACCAGAAAUUAAAUGAUUAGGACAGCUCAAUUAACUUCUAUUGUUACAACUAGAACAUAGGGAUAAUAACAAUAAUUUAGCUUAUUUGAGGCAUGGGCCAGGGCCCGUUGCAGACUAACCUGGGAUCACCAAAUUAAUUUCACUUCAGACAUUUGCUCGUAGAGAUGAGAAGCGCAAGUAAGUGAUUUCACCAUUAUGAAUCCCUGUAGUGCUCUUAUCUUUGUUAAGCCCCUUUUAUUCGCAGCUAGAACUUGAGUGUGACAUCCAAAAGUAUAGCAAAAGAAGUUAAACAAGAAAUAAUUGAUCAAAGGAGCUUUUGCCAAGGAUGUUAGAAAGUGGCGUAAUCACUCGUUUCCACAGAAUCAGAUAUUAGCAUAUUCAUUUGCGGGCUAGUUUUUAAAUCACCACAAUAGGUAUAUAUUAAAAUAAUUGUUAAUCUUGCAGGAAUACAGUGAAAUUGCCCUUAAAUACACACUUCGGGAGCAAAUUUCCUUUGAGGGCACUACACAGCAAUAUUUUGACAACUUAAUUGAUUCACAGAUCCACACUGGCGUCAAUUCCAUUGGCAAUUUUUACUUUAAUUAUUCACAAGGCACCAAUUGCCUUAAGAAGUUGGUAGUUUAAUUCCAUGUUUCUAUACAAUCUUAAUUACAGUUUUUAAAUAAUCACAGAACCCAGAAUGGGAAAGAAGCGAGAUAGGAAUCUUCCCCAUACCAGGUUAGUCUGCAACGGGCCCUGGCCCAUGCCUCAAAUAAGCUAAAUUAUUGUUAUUAUCCCUGUGUUCUAGUUGUAACAAUAGAAGUUAAUUGAGCUGUCCUAAUCAUUUAAUUUCUGGUAUUAAAAUGAAAAUGUUUGUGUUUGAUGAGAGCUGCCAUGCCUUAAAGGGAUUUGAACUGAGAGAACAGCUAGCCUGCAUUUAACCAAGUGUCCAUUUUCACUGGUACCAGAGCCAGGUUUUCCGUGCUAUGUUUUCUACAUCUCUAAUGCAAAGAUGAGAAACUUGUGGCUGUUCAGAUUUUGUUGGACUCUCAGCUCUCAUCAGUCCCAUCCAGCCUCAUCAAUAGUAGUCCAACAACACCUGGAGGGGCUACCCUGUUUUAAAGAAAUGGAACCACUUGGGUGCAAGGCAUAUUCUGUAAAUGCCCUGGGUUCAAACAAACGAAUGAAUGAAUGGCAGGCAGACAGGACAGAAGCAAUAACUUUUAAUCCCCCCCCCCCGUCCAAAUCUGGGACAUUUGCAGACUGCUUUUAUUGGUAUUUGGCUAGCUUCUGUCAGAAAAUAGAAUACUGACUAGAGGAAACAUUGGUUUGAUCUAACAAGACAAUGAUGUUGAUGGAUUUUAUCCUACUCUUCAGCCACAAAAAGUGAAUGGAAGUGAUAAUGCAAUCCCUACCCUCAGGUUUACAGUGUGUGUGUGUGUGUGUGUGUGUGUGUGUAUGCAUAACACAAAAGGAAAAGGGACUGGUAGGGAGGAACUGCAAAGCUAGCUCAGGCACUGUUUCUUAAGUUACGGAAUUUUUGUAGUGACCAGAUAGGAGAAAGAACAGAACAGAAUAGAAUAGAAUACUCAUCUUAAAAUUCCUCAGCAUAGCAUAUAAGCAAGGAAGAGAGUAUUACUGAUGCAUAGGAUGGUCUUUAAAGCCAUUAUAUCCACAGCAUACAUUUAAGCACAUUUAUGCUUUAAUUCCCCCCCUCAAAUAAUUCUGGGAACUGUGGUUUGUUAAGAGUGCCCAGAGGACAUCCCUUACAGAGCUAUAGCUUUCAGAUGUCCACUAAAGGUCACAGAAUGGGCUGUUUCUUCUUAUUUUAUUUUUUUAAUGAUAUUUAUUAAAGUUUCAAAGAAAAGAUUACAUAGAUAAACAGAAAAGAAAAAGAAAAAGAAAUAAAAAAGAAAAAAUACAAAUUACAGAAAAAAGAUAAAAAAACACUUAAAAAACACAUCGAUCUUUCCAUACCUUACAUUUCAUUUCCUUACUUCCCUGACUUCCUCACACCUCCCCUUUUUGUAUUCCCGUUUACAAAAUCCUUUCAGCAAAUCCUUACCCUCUUUCAUUUAUCUUUACUCUGUAUCUUAACCUAUUAUAACUAUAUAUUUUCAUCCAUAUAACUAUCAAUAUUUACAUAUUCUUGUUAACCUUAUUACCAAAACCACUUAUUUUCAGUCCAACAUCAUUUUAACAUUCAUUAAUUUUACAGUAUUUCUGCAAAUAGUCUUUAAACUUCUUCCAAUCUUCUUCCACCAACUCUUCUCCCUGGUCUCGGAUUCUGCCAGUCAUUUCCGCCAUUUCCAUAUAGUCCAUCACCUUCAUCUGCCAUUCUUCCAAAGUGGGUAAAUCUUGUGUCUUCCAAUACUUGGCAAUAAGUAUUCUUGCUGCUGUUGUAGCAUACACAAAAAAAGUUCUAUCCUUCUUUGGCACCAAUUGGUCAACUAUACCCAAGAGGAAGGCCUCUGGUUUCUUCAGGAAGGUAAAUUUAAAUACCUUUUUCAUUUCAUUAUAGAUCAUCUCCCAGAACGCCUUGAUCUUUGGGCACGUCCACCAAAGGUGAAAAUGGGCUGUUUCUUCUUAAACGCCAGAGCCCCAACUCAUGAUAGGAUUAUUUUUGAGCGUUCAGUUGUUCAGCUUACAUAUUUGUAAAUAAACUCAAAUAUACACUUAUUUUCUCAUCUGGAUAAGACUUCAAUUUUCUGAAGGAAGGCUUCCUUCCUCUAAUAUCUUUCCUCUGCUUGCUAACCACGCAAGUAUCCUGUUGGCCUUGGUGGUGCUUUUCCUGAUCUGCAGUGUACCUUUCAGCUUAGCUUCUGUGAUUGUGGUUUUUGAGUGUCUCCCAAACAUCCUGGAUAAAUUUAGCUCCCUUGACUCUUUGGGAAAGCACCCACAACAACAUUCUUCUAUGUAUUUGCCCAUAGUUCAUUUUAGAACUGAAAUACUGAUAUAGAUUCUAUUUUAUUUUGGGGGUGUCCACUUUGUAUUCCUCUCUUCUGUAAAACUUCAGAUAUAUAAUACUCAUACCCUCCAACACUUUGAAGCCAAAAUCUGAGUCACCGUCUUACCAUUUCUUGCGAGAGCAAUGGCAGCCAUUUUGGUUACCACAAUCUCACAUGAUUUCACCCGCCCACCCUGCCCCAAAAAAGGACUUUUGGGGAGCAUGGCCCCCCAAAACACACAUUCAGGGCACCGCACAAGAUCGCAGCCUCAAAAAAAGCAUUUUUGGGGGGCGGGGAGAAGAAUCACACUGCAAAUUCAUGUGAUAUUGCGAUGAUCAAAAUGGCCGCUGUUCCCUCACGUUAAAAAACACUGGGUGUCCCAGUUUUUCCAGGACACUUGCAGGGCAUGUAAUCAUUCAUUCAUUGCAUUAAUAUCCUACCUUUUUUUUCUCCAAAGAGCUCAAGGUGGCAUACAUGGUCUCCUCCUGGACUCAUUUAAUCCCCACAACAAUCCUGUGAGGUAAACUAAGCUGAGAGGAUAUGACUGGCCUAAGGUCAUCCAGUGAGCUUCAUGGAUUUGAACCUUGGUCUCUCAGGUCUUAGUCCAACAUUCAAACCAAUACACCGCAAACUAUUUACUUUGCUAAGCUGUGCUGACUCCCCCCCCCCCCCGGCCCAUCUUUUUCUGUUUCAGUGGAUUAUAUUUUAGUAAACUGGAUAAAUGGGUGUAUUCUGAAUAUGACUAGCGUCGUAUGGAUUUGCUUGUUUCUGAGAUAUUGUGACCAGAACUCUGACUAUUGAACAACCAGAUAUGGAUGCGCCAGUUGAUUUAAAUGUAUGGCCUGCUUUAUGCACAAGGCUUCUGUACAUAUAAGCAUACUUCAGAACAGACAAAUAUGUAUACGUUAUACAAUAAAAACCACCUGUUGCCGAUCUAUAUUCUAUUGCCGACAGGGUGAAGCAGAACAAUCGGGUGCCUUGUGACCCUCAACAGCCUCACUCCUGUCCCUUUUAAAUUUAUCUCACGGAUCUGAAAUAUCUUAACUUGUAUUAUUUUUUUAAUAAAUUUUUAUUGGAAAUUUUAUUUACAACAUAACAUGAACUCCCCACCCCCAAUAAAGAAAUCCACCCUUAUUAAACAUGAACAUAACAUACAAUAAGCAUAACAUACAACAAUACAAACAACCAAAUAAAAGACUUCCUUUAUCCUGUAUUUAAGUUAUAAUUAGAAAAAUCUUAAAGGAAACAGCUUAUAAGAAGUAAAUAAGGAGGCCAGAUGCCAGAUACUGAAAUGUCUUAACUUGUAAUGCCAAUAAAGGGAUUUGUAUUGUAUUGUAUUGUAUUGCUUCUCAGGACCAUCCUUCCAGCCAUGGCUGGGCUGUUGUAAUAUCUUCCUAGAAUACCAGCAAAAUGUCCUGGUCACAAAAAGUGAUGGCCUGGUCAUAAUUUUGAAAACGGAACGGGUUUUGCUGAGUUGUCGUGUAUGUGUGUAUUUGAAUAGGGGACAUGGAGGGAAGGGAUGUCUUAAAAUAAAAUGAGAGAGAGAGAGUCUCAUGGGGAAAACGAACAAGAGAAGCGAGGACGAAGGGACGUGGAUGAAGCUCUCCAAUACUAAUAAAAGGCUUCAUUCACCUCAGGCCCAGAGCAAAAAGUGCUGUACUUGCACCUUGGUAUUAAACAAUAAAAGAAACAAGAGAGGCCUGUCAUUCAGGGAGAAGAUGCGCCUCUGACUUCCAUUCAGUCUGAUGUGGAUAAAAAAGGGAGGGAAAAACCUGGGGAGGAGAGGGUUUGAUUAAUGAGCUUUUGUGGUUGUUUGUAACCAAGUUCACCCCUAUUUUGUCCACAUUAAGGUAACCCCGUUUCAGACUAACUGCUAAAUGUUUAUAUUGCAACUAGCUGCUAAAUGUUUCUUUCUCAUUGCUCUGCUCCAUGCUGGCUUCAUAGAUUUAGGCACGUGGCUGAUAAGGUAAAAAUAUUCACCUGGGUUAUUAUCUUAGCUUUCAAAAACAAUGAAGAGAAAAAGUACAUAAUAAAACAUUUGCAUGUCAUUUGUGUAGGGUUUUUUUUAAAUGAAGGUUUCAGAAUAGUCUGAAGGAAUUGUAUAGGGCAAAUGUAUCUACCAUCUUGUUUUCACCUUUGCAGAUAACAAUAAUCAAUAAUAAUAAAUAUUAAUAAAAAUAAAUAUUUAUUUAUACCCCUCCCAUCUGGCUGGGUUUCCCCAGCCACUCUGGGCGGCUACUCUUGUGUAUCCUACAUAGAAUUCCUUAAUAGUUUUCUGUGGGUUUCUGGGUGGCUGCUGCAUUUGACAACCAAAAUGGAAGUUCUUUCCAGACAUUUUCCUGGACAGUUACAUAAAAUUUGCAACAAUCCAGCUCCCUGACAGAAUUGCCCUACAAUAAGAGACACUUGCCAGAUGGCCUCAAUUCGUGAGAAAUAUGUGUUUCUAAUGCACACACGUCAAAACCAAUUCAGCAUGCAAUUUUAACCUUGGGGAUUUGACUGUUUUUUCCGACAGAAUCUGUUGCUGGUGGAGACGAAAACAUUAUUGAAAAUGCUGAACCGCUACAUAGAGGAACAGGUCAAGACAAACAAACAGGGUCAACUUACUCAGUGAGGUCCUACCUAUUCAGUUUCCUUUUGAGGAGAAUUUUCAGGGAUGGAACUAGAGUGUCAUCUUUUCAUGUGUGAAAGGUAUGUGUAUCUACCAUCAAAGGCACAUUGAAAGUGGUCCAGUACAAAAAGCUCAUUGCGCAACAACUGAACUAUCAACCGCAGCCUACCUAAAAGCCUGAAAUCUCUAGCCUGCUUCAAGGCAACAUAUAACUCAAGCAACAAAGACCAGAAGUGCGGAGGUGUCUAUUCUUGCAGGCAUAGCUUUGAGCAAAAGAGCGUAUUGCAUAAUCACAGCUUAUUGCAUAAUCACUGCCUUUAUAAAAAGGCAGAUAUAAGUGUAGAAAGAAUGAAGGCAAUGGGAUUGAGGGUUAAGCCACUGGUGAUGUAACACAGUGAUACCCCACAGCUGGCUAAGGAACAUAAUUUAAAAAGAGGAAAAGCGUCACCAAAGCAGAUGGCACAAAUUUGCAUAUAAUCUACAUAUGGUAAUUAGUACUUACGGAUGUACAUUUAUAAGUAAUUACUGUACUUUCAAAGGAAAUGUGAUACAUCUCAUCAUGACUGUGACCUGUUUUGUUGUUCAGUCUGCUAUAUAGGUGCUAACCGUUGAUGCCUCUUUAUGUCUCUCCUUCCCACUUCUUAAAGGUUUAUCCUUAAACGAAACUUGAACAGAAUAAGCCAGAGUUGACGGAUUGAAAUCUUCUAUGUAAUUGAAGUCACGUGUAGUAGACAGCCCUUCUUUUAACCAGCUAAAGAUUUUGUCUUUUUCGAAGGUUCCAGAAGGGGUGUUCUUCAGCCUAUUUUAAAAGUGAUUUAUUGCGCCUUGGCUUGAAGUUGCUUGUGAUGAGGGGCAAGCAGAAAUGCUCUAAAUGUAUAAAUAUCCAAAUGUAUGGUACAGCAUGAAGUACCCACUUGUGCGGCUUAAAAACAGAGUGUCUUACUGAAAAUUAAAGCUACAACAAAUGCUUGUUUUUAAGUGAUCAACCAUUACUUUUGGUAUUACAAGCAUGUGUAUAUAGAUCCCUUAUAGC
Molecule: non-coding RNA, 12703 nt
Organism: Podarcis lilfordi (Lilford's wall lizard)
Lineage: Eukaryota; Metazoa; Chordata; Lepidosauria; Squamata; Lacertidae
Source: the annotation of a GenBank genome assembly